GUAGGGUGGCAAGCGUUGUCCGGAAUUAUUGGGCGUAAAGCGCGCGCAGGUGGUUCUUUAAGUCUGGGUGUGAAAGCCCCCGGGCUCAACCGGGGAGGGUCAUUGGAAACUGGGGAACUUGAGUGCAGGAGAGGAAAGUGGAAUUCCACGUGUAGCGGUGAAACGCGUAGAUAUGUGGAGGAACACCAGUGGCGAAGGCGACUUUCUGGCCUGUAACUGACACUGAGGCGCGAAAGCGUGGGGAGCAAACAGGAUUAGAUACCCUGGUAGUCCACGCCGUAAACGAUGAGUGCUAAGUGUUGGGGGGUUUCCGCCCCUCAGUGCUGCAGCUAACGCAUUAAGCACUCCGCCUGGGGAGUACGGUCGCAAGACUG
Molecule: ribosomal RNA, 374 nt
Filed under: uncultured organism
Description: partial 16S ribosomal RNA
Rfam family: Bacterial small subunit ribosomal RNA
Source: RNAcentral